UAUAUUUGCACUCGUUUUACAUAAAAAUCAUUGAUAUAAUAUUGGCAUG
The submitters of this non-coding RNA (49 nucleotides) gave its source as unclassified sequences. The record is from Rfam.